GCUUCUUCGAAUCGCUUGUGAUGUAUAUGAAUAUGAACACUCAAGAAGCAAUUGAUAGUACUGCAAAAAAUUCUUCCAUCAUAAUAUGUCAUCCACUUCAAACAUAUUCUUGCUUGUUCUCAUUUUUGCUGCCUUAGUUCCACACAAAUCAGAUGGAGAAUUUCAGGAAUGGUGCAUAGCUGAUGAGCAAACUCCAGAAGAAGAGUUGCAGAUAGCACUUGAUUGGGCAUGUGGAAAGGGAGGAGCAGAUUGCAGAAUGAUACAAAAAAAUCAACCUUGUUACUUACCAAAUACAGUGAAAGAUCAUGCUUCUUUUGCUUUCAAUAAUUACUAUCAGAAGUUUAAGCAUCAAGGAGCUACUUGUUACUUCAAUGCUGCUGCUAUGAUUACUGAUCUUGAUCCAAGUCAUAACUCCUGCCAAUUUUUGUAAUCUUCCGUGAGUGAAAUGAUUGGAGAUCAAUCUUGCAUUUGGUUUGGAAGUUGAGUUGAGUGAGUUUUGGCUCAAUUUGCUUAUAAUGUGUGCUUUUCAGUGAAUUUUGUAAUUUUUAUUUCUUUAUUAUAUUGUAAGGACAAGAGGAAAAAUUUUUGUUUGGCUCAAUUUACAUGUAUAUUUAUGCUUUGUGAAGUUAAAAUGGUUGGUGUUUAAAUCAAAUCAAUGUAGAAUUCAUUUUAUUUGUAAUGAAUUCAAUUAAUAAAUUUAACACUUGUCUCUUUUACAAA
RNAcentral lists this unclassified non-coding RNA (720 nucleotides) under Hevea brasiliensis (rubber tree). The record is from RNAcentral. Lineage: Eukaryota; Viridiplantae; Streptophyta; Magnoliopsida; Malpighiales; Euphorbiaceae.